AUGGGGAGGAAGGUGACAAGAAGAGGAAGAAGGUCUUUAUUUUUUGCGCUCUCCUCCUCCUCCUCAUGCCCAAAUGCAAUCCCUUUUUGGCACAUUUUGCAAAAGGCUGCCUUGGGUUGGAGAGCAAUUGCGCACAAGGAGAAGCGAAGCGCGUGCGCUUUUUCCUCGGGCGCGCCAUGUUGCGCGCGGGGCAGGCUGGGUUUUGUAGUUCUCCUUGCACACCCCCUCCCUCCCUUUCCACACCACGCGUUGGGAAGGAAGAGAAAGAGGAGGAGGAGGCGCUGCUGCGUUUGCCCGGGACACGAGGAGACGGGGACGCACACCAUGUUUCUUGCGCUCCAACCGGCUUCUCUCUUCCCUACUUUGCGUCGCCCUUUUUUUUGGAUAGCUUUGGGAAAGGAAAGUGGGUACUUUGUGAACCAGAGAAGCAUCGGUCCUCAGAGUAAGUUUUCACAGAAGGAUGGAAUGGACAGACCAAGGCCUUUCUUUGCCUGGUGCUUCUGGGGGGAAAGCCAUCGGGGUGCAAAAGUGCUUAUAGUGCAGGUAGUGUGUUGGCAUCUACUGCAGUGUUGGCACUUCCGUGCCACGAUGGCGAUGCGCGUCAGGUGCAACUGUGCCAUCUUGGCAGGCUCCUGGCCUUUCUUAUCCCGACUCCUUCGAAACAGCUUCCUGUGCUAAGGUGCAUCUAGUGCAGUUAGUGAAGUAGCUUAGAAUCUACUGCCCUGAAUGCUCCUUCUGGCAUAGGAGGCCGGAGCCGAACCACAGGUCGCAAAGCAGAAUCUGCGAAAAGGCUACAAGGAUCUCCUUUGGUGCUUGAAGUACAGUAGAGUUUCACUUAUCCAAGCUAAACGGGCCGGCAGAACCUUGGAUAAGCGAAUGUCUUGGAUAAUAAGGAGGGAUUAAGGAGAAGCCUAUUAAACAUCAAAUUAGGUUAUGAUUUUACAAAUUAAGCGCCAAACCAUCAUGUUAUGCAACAAAUUUGACAGAAAAAGUAGUUCAAUACACAGUAAUGUUACGUUGUAAUUACAAUAUAGUCUCACUUAUCCAAGCCUCUGGAUUAUCCAAGCCAUUUUUGUAGUCAAUGUUUUCAAUUUAUCGUGAUAUUUUGGUACUAAAUUCAUAAAUACAGUAAUUACAACAUAACAUUACUGUGUAUUGAACUACUUUUUCUGUCAAAUUUGUUGUAUAACAUGUUUUUGGUGCUUAAUUUGUAAAAUCAUAACCUAAUUUGAUGUUUUAUGACCCCUGCGACAGCAGAUAGUUCGAUUAUUAUAAUG
Molecule: long non-coding RNA, 1277 nt
Filed under: Anolis carolinensis (green anole)
Lineage: Eukaryota; Metazoa; Chordata; Lepidosauria; Squamata; Anolidae
Description: lncRNA (ENSACAG00000038854.1)
Rfam family: mir-17 microRNA precursor family (bases 666-747)
Source: RNAcentral